GCCAGGCAUAGUGGCAUGUGCCUGUAGUCCCAGGUACUCAGGAGGCUGAGGCUGGAGGAUCCCUUGAGUCCAGGAGUUCUGGGCUAUAGUGCGCUGUGCCGAUCAGGUGUCUGCACUAAGUUCGGCAUCAAUAUGGUGACCUCCUGAGAGCAGGGGACCACCAGUUUGCUGAACCAAGGGGUAAACUGGCCCAUGUCGGAAAUGGAGCAGGUCAGAACUUCUGUGCUGAUCAGUAGUGGGAUUGUGCCUAUGAAUAGCCACUGUACUCCAGCCUGGGCAACAUAGUGAGACCCUGUCUCU
This 300-nucleotide signal recognition particle RNA is filed under the name Cebus imitator (Panamanian white-faced capuchin). Its description in RNAcentral is "Metazoan signal recognition particle RNA (ENSCCAG00000005951.1)". It matches the Rfam family "Metazoan signal recognition particle RNA". From Rfam's summary of the family: The signal recognition particle (SRP) is a universally conserved ribonucleoprotein. Lineage: Eukaryota; Metazoa; Chordata; Mammalia; Primates; Cebidae. The record is from RNAcentral.